GACGAACGCUGGCGGCGUGCUUAAUGAAUGCGAGUCGAGCGAGAACCAGAUGAGUGCUUGCACAAGUCUGGGGAGAGCGGCAAACGGGUGAGUAACACGUGGGUAACCUGCCCUGCAGACGGGCAUAACAGUUGGAAACGACUGCUAAUUCCCGAUGGUCUGUGGGAGCGUAAGCUUCCAUAGUAAAGGUUUAUUCCGCUGCAGGAUGGGCCCGCGGGCCAUUAGCUUGUUGGUAGGGUAACGGCCUACCAAGGCGACGAUGGCUAGCCGGUCUGAGAGGAUGGUCGGCCACACUGGGACUGAGACAUGGCCCAGACUCCUCCGGGAGUUAGCAUCAGGGAAUCUUGCGCAAUGGGCGAAAGCCUGACGCAGCGACGCCGCGUGAGGGAUGAAGGUCUGCGGAUCGUAAACCUCUGUAAGCAGGGACGAAGUGCCCGAUUCUGUCGGGAGUGACGGUACCUGCAGAGUAAGCUCCGGCUAACUACGUGCC
Molecule: ribosomal RNA, 490 nt
Filed under: uncultured bacterium
Lineage: Bacteria
Description: bacterial SSU rRNA
Rfam family: Bacterial small subunit ribosomal RNA
Source: RNAcentral